AGUGAACGCUGGCGGUAGGCCUAACACAUGCAAGUCGAACGGCAGCACAGUAAGAGCUUGCUCUUACGGGUGGCGAGUGGCGGACGGGUGAGGAAUACAUCGGAAUCUACUUUUUCGUGGGGGAUAACGUAGGGAAACUUACGCUAAUACCGCAUACGACCUACGGGUGAAAGCGGGGGAUCUUCGGACCUUGCGCGAUUGAAUGAGCCGAUGUCGGAUUAGCUAGUUGGCGGGGUAAAGGCCCACCAAGGCGACGAUCCGUAGCUGGUCUGAGAGGAUGAUCAGCCACACUGGAACUGAGACACGGUCCAGACUCCUACGGGAGGCAGCAGUGGGGAAUAUUGGACAAUGGGCGCAAGCCUGAUCCAGCCAUACCGCGUGGGUGAAGAAGGCCCUCGGGUUGUAAAGCCCUUUUGUUGGGAAAGAAAAGCAGCAGGUUAAUACCCCGCUGUUCUGACGGUACCCAAAGAAUAAGCACCGGCUAACUUCGUG
This 492-nucleotide ribosomal RNA is filed under the name uncultured bacterium. RNAcentral's name for it is "partial 16S ribosomal RNA". It matches the Rfam family "Bacterial small subunit ribosomal RNA", at positions 29 to 507 of the family's 1533-position model. The record is from RNAcentral.